AUUGAACGCUGGCGGCAGGCUUAACACAUGCAAGUCGAGCGGGGUGAUGGUGCUUGCACUAUCACUUAGCGGCGGACGGGUGAGUAAUGCUUAGGAAUCUGCCUAUUAGUGGGGGACAACAUCUCGAAAGGGAUGCUAAUACCGCAUACGUCCUACGGGAGAAAGCAGGGGAUCACUUGUGACCUUGCGCUAAUAGAUGAGCCUAAGUCGGAUUAGCUAGUUGGUGGGGUAAAGGCCCACCAAGGCGACGAUCUGUAGCGGGUCUGAGAGGAUGGUCGGCCACACUGGGACGGGAACACGGCGCGGACGCGUAGGGGAGGCAGCAGUGGGGGAGAUUGGACAAUGGGGGGAACCCUGAUCCAGCCAUGCCGCGUGUGUGAAGAAGGCCUUAUGGUUGUAAAGCACUUUAAGCGAGGAGGAGGCUCUUGUGGUUAAUACCCAAGAUGAGUGGACGUUACUCGCAGAAUAAGCACCGGCUAACUCUGUGCCAGCCGCCGCAGUAA
RNAcentral lists this ribosomal RNA (503 nucleotides) under uncultured bacterium. Its description in RNAcentral is "partial 16S ribosomal RNA". It matches the Rfam family "Bacterial small subunit ribosomal RNA", at positions 30 to 523 of the family's 1533-position model. The record is from RNAcentral.